UGGGGAAUUUUGGACAAUGGGCGAAAGCCUGAUCCAGCAAUGCCGCGUGUGUGAAGAAGGCCUUCGGGUUGUAAAGCACUUUUGUCCGGAAAGAAAUCCUUGGCUCUAAUACAGUCGGGGGAUGACGGUACCGGAAGAAUAAGCACCGGCUAACUACGUGCCAGCAGCCGCGGUAAUACGUAGAGUGCAAGCGUUAAUCGGAAUUACUGGGCGUAAAGCGUGCGCAGGCGGUUUGCUAAGACCGAUGUGAAAUCCCCGGGCUCAACCUGGGAACUGCAUUGGUGACUGGCAGGCUAGAGUAUGGCAGAGGGGGGUAGAAUUCCACGUGUAGCAGUGAAAUGCGUAGAGAUGUGGAGGAAUACCGAUGGCGAAGGCAGCCCCCUGGGCCAAUACUGACGCUCAUGCACGAAAGCGUGGGGAGCAAACAGGAUUAGAUACCCUGGUAGUCCACGCCCUAAACGAUGUCAACUAGUUGUUGGGGAUUCAUUUCCUUAGUAACGUAGCUAACGCGUGAAGUUGACCGCCUGGGGAGUACGGUCGCAAGAUUAAAACUCAAAUGAAUUGAC
Molecule: ribosomal RNA, 566 nt
Filed under: uncultured bacterium
Lineage: Bacteria
Description: partial 16S ribosomal RNA
Rfam family: Bacterial small subunit ribosomal RNA
Source: RNAcentral